AUUCCAGCUCCAAUAGCGUAUAUUAAUGUUGUUGCAGUUAAAAAGCUCGUAGUUGGAUUUCUGCGUCGCGCAGCUCGGUCCGCCGCACUGCGGUGCGACUGUGGUUGGAGCGUCGCUUCUUUGUGGGGACUACUGGUGUCAUUAAUUUGAUGUCUUUAGGAACUGCAUCGUUUACUGUGAAAAAAUUAGAGUGUUCAAAGCAGGCUUAUGCCGUGAAUACAUUAGCAUGGAAUAAUAAGAUAGGACUUUGGUUCUAUUUUGUUGGUUGGAGGCCAAGGUAAUGAUUAAUAGGGAUAGUUGGGGGUGCUAGUAUUCAGCGGCCAGAGGUGAAAUUCUUGGAUUUACGGAAGACGAACGACUGCGAAAGCAUUUACCAAGGAUGUUUUCAUUGA
Molecule: ribosomal RNA, 392 nt
Filed under: Stramenopiles sp. MAST-3J
Lineage: Eukaryota
Description: partial small subunit ribosomal RNA
Rfam family: Eukaryotic small subunit ribosomal RNA
Source: RNAcentral